RNAcentral lists this ribosomal RNA (252 nucleotides) under uncultured archaeon. RNAcentral describes it as "partial 16S ribosomal RNA". It matches the Rfam family "Archaeal small subunit ribosomal RNA", at positions 731 to 982 of the family's 1478-position model. The record is from RNAcentral.
AGAUACCCGUGUAGUCCCAGCCGUAAACUAUGCUCGCUAGGUGUCAGGCAUGGCGCGACCGUGUCUGGUGCCGCAGGGAAGCCGUGAAGCGAGCCACCUGGGAAGUACGGCCGCAAGGCUGAAACUUAAAGGAAUUGGCGGGGGAGCACAACAACGGGUGGAGCCUGCGGUUUAAUUGGACUCAACGCCGGACAACUCACCGGGGACGACAGCAAUAUGUAGGCCAGGCUGAAGGCCUUGCCUGAAUCGCUG